This is a long non-coding RNA of Phasianus colchicus (ring-necked pheasant), 1605 nucleotides long. The record is from Ensembl. NCBI's taxonomy places the organism in Eukaryota, Metazoa, Chordata, Aves, Galliformes, Phasianidae.
GGAGGGAUGGGGCGAUGCUCUGGGGGGAGUUGCUGCAGUCCUUCCCUGUCUUCAAGGUCCCCCUUCCUGCCCCAGAGGGUUCUCCAGCCCCCCAGCAGGUCCCAAUCCUGCAUCGCACCGAGUUUGGGGCUGGCAAGCAAAGGCUGAGGGUCCCAGCACCGAUCAGGCUCUACCCUCUUCCUGCCUCUGGCCCACGCAUAGGGCUCUGCUGUUCCCAGGAAGGGGCCCAGGGAUUCCAUCCUCCAUCACAGCACCUCGAAGGCUGAGCGGAAGGGUGGUGACUGAGCCUCCCCACAGCCACAUCAGUGCCUGAACUUCCCCCUCACUUUCUAGGAACCCCAGAAAGCACAUGACCAGGAGUGAUGAGGAUAGCCUAUGUCCCCUGCCCUCCCCAGCCUGGCUCUGCUCUACUCCUAGGAUGGAGACUUGCAGACAUGCCCUGCCCGGGGCUGCUGCCCCUCUUCCCUAUCCCCCCCAUCUGCUGCCCCUCAUCUCCAUCCACCCCUGUUCCUGCCCCACGUUUGCCUCCCUUUCAGUGCUGGAGCCAAUUUGUGUGGUGAAAGCUGUCCCUGCUCCUAGCUGGGGAUGGCAGCUCCAACCUAUCCUCUAUCCUAUGCUGUCAGAAUGGGGACAAUUCACUCUGGGCUACAGGGCUCCCCUUCACUUGUGUGAGAGUGUAGGUUAGGAUGGGGGAUGCUCCCACCUGGAGUGCACCCUGACCCUUGCCCAGUGCUGGCGGGGGUCAUCGCCAGACCAUUCCCUGGGUGCACACCCCCGAGCUGGGCACUGCCACAGGCUCUGCCAUCCCUUCCCUGCUCUCCUGGACGUGCCCCCCCUAAAAUCCUGCCCUAUGGAUCCCAGUGUUGGAGGGCACCCGGUGGGAGCCGGGACCGGAGGAGCUCCAGCAUCGCUCCGGGCGGCUCCGCGCUGCCCCUCGGCCCAGGGCACAGCGUGGUGCUCACGGUGUCCCCGCUCCAAGCAGGGCUCGCACCGAGGCCGGCAGGGCUGGAGCCGAUCGCGGGUACCGAUCCUCAGCUCCGCCCUGCACCGUUUUCUCCUCUUCUAAGAACUGUGAUGCUGCUGCGGUUUGCCUUCACCUUGGGGCAGCCCCGCGGGGUCGCGGCUCGGUAUAUAUACGGCAGCUCCCGACCCUCAGAGCCAGCAGGAGCAGCGCACGCAGAGGUAGGCGGAGGGGUCUCUGGGGGGCGACGGGGAGCCGGAAAAGCGCUGCCCCACUCGGGCACUCCCUGCCCGGGGCCGUGCCGGGAAGGGCUGGGAGCUGCGCCCACCGCCCACCGAGCGGUGCUUUCCCAGCCGCUGCCCCCGGCUCCUCUCGCUCUGCCCAACCCCGCUGCGCCCCGGCACGGCUGCGCCCCGGCACCGCUCCUCCCGGGAUCCAACGCCGCGUUCCCUCACGCUGCCCCUCUCCCCACAGAUGCCGGUCCCGGUGCUCCUGGCGCUGUGCAUCGCCCUUACGGACGCCUUGACUGCAUUCCCCCCAAAGUUUCUGGUGGGGAACCUGAACAAGGACGUGGUGGUGAAAUGCAACACCUCGAAGCUGCAGGUGACCUGGACACAGAACGGGGAGCCGGAGCCAAUGGCUGA